Molecule: ribosomal RNA, 254 nt
Filed under: uncultured bacterium
Lineage: Bacteria
Description: partial 16S ribosomal RNA
Rfam family: Bacterial small subunit ribosomal RNA
Source: RNAcentral
UACGUAGGCAGCGAGCGUUGUUCGGAGUUACUGGGCGUAAAGGGUGCGUAGGCGGUUGUUUUAAGUUUGGUGUGAAAUCUCCCGGCUCAACUGGGAGGGUGCGCCGAAUACUGAAUGACUAGAGUGCGGGAGAGGAUAGUGGAAUUCCUGGUGUAGCAGUGAAAAUGCGUAGAUAUCAGGAGGAACACCGAUGGCGAAGGCAGGUCUCUGGGCUGACACUGACGUCAUGCACGAAAGCGUGGGGAGCAAACAGG